RNAcentral lists this ribosomal RNA (80 nucleotides) under Russula cf. pectinatoides WTU_F_39432. RNAcentral describes it as "partial 28S ribosomal RNA". It matches the Rfam family "Eukaryotic large subunit ribosomal RNA", at positions 50 to 129 of the family's 3401-position model. The record is from RNAcentral. Lineage: Eukaryota; Fungi; Basidiomycota; Agaricomycetes; Russulales; Russulaceae.
GCGGAGGAAAAGAAACUAACAAGGAUUCCCCUAGUAACUGCGAGUGAAGCGGGAAAAGCUCAAAUUUAAAAUCUGGUGGU